GACGAACGCUGGCGGCGUGCUUAACACAUGCAAGUCGAACGAGAGCGGAGAGAAUGCUUGCUUUUUCUACAAUCUAGUGGCGAACGGGUGAGUAACGCGUAAACAACCUGCCCUACGGACGGGGACAACAGCGGGCAACUACCGCUAAUGCCCAGAACGUUCCGAAAGUGGCAUUACUGACGUAAGGAAGUCAGGCCUCUCUAUAUAAGCUAUCGCCGGUGGUGGGGUUUUCGCCUGGUUAGCCAGUUGGGGGGGUAACGGCCCACCAAGGCGACGGUCAGGAACCGGUCUUAGAGGAUUGACCGCCACAAUGGAACUGGGAAAACGUCCAGACUUCUACGGGGAGCAGCAGUGGGGGAACUUCGGAAAUGGGCGGAAGGCCGACGGAGGAACGGCGGGUGGGUGAAGACGGCCUUCCGGUUGUAAAGCUCUGUUAAGCGGGGCGAAUAAUCUGGUGGUUAAUACCCAGGAGAAGUGACGGUACCGUAAGAGAAAGCCACGGCUAACUACGUG
RNAcentral lists this ribosomal RNA (513 nucleotides) under uncultured bacterium. Its description in RNAcentral is "partial 16S ribosomal RNA". It matches the Rfam family "Bacterial small subunit ribosomal RNA", at positions 28 to 507 of the family's 1533-position model. The record is from RNAcentral.